This 436-nucleotide ribosomal RNA is filed under the name Vreelandella zhaodongensis. Its description in RNAcentral is "bacterial SSU rRNA". It matches the Rfam family "Bacterial small subunit ribosomal RNA", at positions 442 to 872 of the family's 1533-position model. The record is from RNAcentral. Lineage: Bacteria; Pseudomonadati; Pseudomonadota; Gammaproteobacteria; Oceanospirillales; Halomonadaceae.
AGGAAGAACGCCUAGUGGUUAAUACCAUUAGGAAAGACAUCACUCGCAGAAGAAGCACCGGCUAACUCCGUGCCAGCAGCCGCGGUAAUACGGAGGGUGCAAGCGUUAAUCGGAAUUACUGGGCGUAAAGCGCGCGUAGGUGGCUUGAUAAGCCGGUUGUGAAAGCCCCGGGCUCAACCUGGGAACGGCAUCCGGAACUGUCAAGCUAGAGUGCAGGAGAGGAAGGUAGAAUUCCCGGUGUAGCGGUGAAAUGCGUAGAGAUCGGGAGGAAUACCAGUGGCGAAGGCGGCCUUCUGGACUGACACUGACACUGAGGUGCGAAAGCGUGGGUAGCAAACAGGAUUAGAUACCCUGGUAGUCCACGCCGUAAACGAUGUCGACCAGCCGUUGGGUGCCUAGCGCACUUUGUGGCGAAGUAACGCGAUAAGUCGACCGC